This 2107-nucleotide long non-coding RNA is filed under the name Cricetulus griseus (Chinese hamster). Its description in RNAcentral is "lncRNA (ENSCGRG00015041207.1)". The stretch from base 531 to 602 matches the Rfam family "tRNA". Lineage: Eukaryota; Metazoa; Chordata; Mammalia; Rodentia; Cricetidae. The record is from RNAcentral.
CUCUGCCUCUGCCUCUGCCUCUGCCUCUGCCUCUGCCUCUGCCUCUGCCUCUGCCUCUGCCUCCCAAUUGCUGGGAUUAAAGGCAUGCGCCACCAAUGCCCCGGCUGUUCUUUUUUAAAGAUUUAUUUAUCAGAUAUACAGUGUUCUGCCUUUGUGCCAGAAGAGGACACCAGAAUGAAUUGUAGAUGGUUGUAAGCCACCAUGUGGUUGCUGGGAAUUGAACUCAGGACCUCUGGAAGAACAGCCAGUGCUUUUAACCACUGAGCCAUCUCUCCAGCAGUGAAGCUUCUUUCAAGUAAAUUUUGCAAGUUUGUGUGUACUGAGUGUAUGCACACAUGUUACCCCCAUUCUAUAGAAGCUACGUUUUAUUAACAUAGGUGUCCUUUUAUAAAUUUAGUACAGUGUACUCACCAUAAAGUCGGUGUAGGAAAAUGUCACAGUGAUUGGUGAUGCAGUUUCAUUAGAAUUUAGUAAAUAGCAGAUUUGUGUGAUGAAAAGCUUUUGUUUUGUAAAAAUAAUAUUUCAGGUCUGGAGGUGUAGCUCAAUUGGUAGAGUACUUGCCUAGCAUACAUGAAGCCCUGGGUUCCAUCCCAACACUGCAUAAAAACAAACAGUAUGGGUGGUGUAUGCCUGUAGCCCUAGCACUUGAGAGGAGGAAGCAGGAAGAACAGAAGUUCAAGGCAUCCUCAACUGCAUAGUGAGUUCAAGGCCAGCCUGGGCUACAUUGAGACCCUGUUUCAAAAAAUUGUGGGUGGUAAGGCUGGAGAAAUGGUCCAGUGGUUAAGAGCAAUUGCUAUUCUUGCAGAGGACUAGAGUUUAAUUCCCAGCACCUACAUUGGUGACUCACCACAGCCUUUAACUCCAGGGCCAGGAGAUGCAACACCCUCUUCUUCUGAUCUCUUAGGGUACCCACACCUCUCUCUCUCUCUCUCUCUCUCUCUCUCUCUCUCUCUCUCUCUCACACACACACACACACACACACACACACACACACCAAAAAUCUUUAAAACAUUUUAAAAUUUAUAUUUGUAGAUGAUUCAACCUCUUGUGUUGAUUCUCAAGUACUCUAUGGAACAUUGUUUUAAAACCUUGGGUGUGAGCUCCAAGAUUCGAACUGAUCCGCUGUGAACUGCUGGUGUCUCCACUCGCCUCAUCAGGUAAAUGAGCAGAGUUCUUUGUUCAUUCCAUCUUUCUUCAGAUGUGGAUGGUAUAGGGCCCGCCUGCAGUUCAGAAAAGUUGUAGCUUUGUCUCCUGAGUAAAUAGAUAAUUUUCUACUUUGUACAGCUUUAUCUUUUCAAAAUAAAUAGUACUUAAAUGCAUUUGCUAUGGUAGGGAAUCGUGUGCCUUCCGAGAUGUGUGAACUGCCUCCUGCUCUGGGGAGUUUUUGUGCUAUGCUCAUUCAGUAACUGUGGGUUGACUGGGAUGCUUUAGACACUGGGUUUCAGAAAAUGAGUUUGACUGUGUAGUGGUGUAAAGACAGCAGAACCUGCUUUAUUCUUAGGGAAAACUAAUACAGUGUGCAAUAAGUAAACUUUGCAAGUGAACAUUAGCUAAUGAAAAAGACUUUUACUUAUGUAAUUUCACAUUCUUAUGUACUAAAUAUUUAUAUUUAUUAGAAGACUGUUUUAUAUUGUGCUCUGAGGAUCAUGGUGUUUGCGUGCUAUGUUUUGAUGUUUUCCUUAUAUUAAUAUAUAUCUGGGUAAUAAGGCUGCUUGGAAACCUUUUGGUCCCCUGAUUUUUAACACUGGGAAGUUGGAUUCAUUAAAAAAUAGUCCAGAUAAUUUGCAUUUGUAGUGUUGGGAGUUUCCUUGCUCUGGGAGUUGUUUCUCAACUGAAGGUUACUUUGUCAGCUCACCCCACACAUCUGUGAGUGGCAGCACAAUGGCAGUAUAAACAGUGGUGUGACUUUGCUUGCCUCCUCUGCCCUACUGCCCAUGAGACAGAACAGAGGAUUAGCACUGCGCCCUGGCAGCUCUGCACUUCCCGUGUAAACAGAUGUCAGUAGAGAAGUACCUUGAGUCUCACUGCCCAAGAGGGAAAGCAGAAGGAGGUGGCAGCUUAGGGGCAAGUUUGCUGGUGCCCAUCAACCACACUGUGGAGAAGUACA